Molecule: long non-coding RNA, 1125 nt
Organism: Oreochromis aureus
Lineage: Eukaryota; Metazoa; Chordata; Actinopteri; Cichliformes; Cichlidae
Source: Ensembl
GGAGGUGGGGGGUGGGGGGGCACAGGAGUGGGGGGUAGUGUUUGUUAACAGUGCGAAUGGCCCAGGGGAAGAAACUGUUUGUGAGUCUGAAGGUGUGGGACCUGAUUGACCUGAGGCACUGACCAGAGGGCAGCGGGUCAAACAGGCAGCCAGGGUGCAAGGGAUCACCUGUGACGGCCCUGGUUUUCCUGAGACAGGAGGAUCUGCUGAUGGCCUCCAGGGGUGGCAUUUGUUUUUUUAAGGUGGUCUUAAUUACCGUCUGUGCAGCCUUCCAGUUCUCUGUUGUGGUCCGUGCGUAGCAAACACCCAGGCAGCAGGAGACCACGCUCUCCACUGAGGAUCGAUGCAAAGCCAGCAGCAGCUUCUGGUCCAGGUUCUUCUUCCUCAGGACACAAAGGAAGUGCAGCUGCUGCUGGGCCUUCUUUAUGGUGUUGUGCAUCCAGGGAUGGGUCCUUCUGCUGCUUCCCACCUUUCACCUCCAUGCACCUGGGAUGAUUAACUCACCUCCUCAGGUUGAAACGCUGAGCUGGCUCCUUCCUCUUGCCCUGGAUGGAGUUCCUCCAUUUGAGCAGUCCUUCCCACUCCCGCCUUUUACCUGGAAAUAAUAUGUGUGGAGUGUGUCAGGCCGGAGGUUCCAACAGUUCUUUCCCAGAUUGUUGUCGCUGCGAUGUUACCAGCUCUGAACCUCCUCACACAUCUUACCUGGAAACCUGCUCACUUGUUGCCUCCAGAAACCCCCAGAACUACUCACCAGCCCCAUGUAAUCUGUCAAAGGAAGGACUUACCCGCUCACCUGCCUGCCCGCUCUUCAAGCGCUUUCUCCGCCACCUGUCUGAUACUCGCCAGCUACCUUCACACUCCCUCUGAGCCUCCCCUCACUUCCAACGCAACCAAGACCUCUGGUUCACUCUCAUUAUUCUCAUCAUCCUCUUGGGUUCCUGUUAAUCUCUUGUCUCCUGUCUAACAGAGCUUCCGUGUACCAGUCUAAAGUGUCUCCGAAUUUCUCCACCAACUGUCUGAACCCAUUAACAAUUCAUUCUUUCACAGUAAACAGUACGAACCUUUCUGCUGUUGUCUGAGUCUGCUCUUUGGGCCCGCUUUUUGCCAUAAUACGACAUUGUCGCU